RNAcentral lists this long non-coding RNA (272 nucleotides) under Olea europaea subsp. europaea. Lineage: Eukaryota; Viridiplantae; Streptophyta; Magnoliopsida; Lamiales; Oleaceae. The record is from RNAcentral.
CCCAUUCAAUAUUCAUAAUUCAUUCUUCCCAAGUUCCACUUCCACUCUUCUCUCUCCGUUGGCCUCGACUUUGUACUUCUCGAUCUGCCACUCAGCCGCUUAGGGAAGAUUCCACAUUUCUGCCGGCCUUCAACGUUCGAGCCCUAGAUGCAGUACCUUCAAGCCCUUGAACUUCUCUAGAUGCGACAGCCGACAGCAGUCCUUCGAAUCUACAUUUCCACGAUUCAACAGCAGAAGAAGAAGGUGAAGCCCCUUAACUCUGAUUCCUAAAC